GAAUUUUGGACAAUGGGGGCAACCCUGAUCCAGCCAUCCCGCGUGUGCGAUGAAGGCCUUCGGGUUGUAAAGCACUUUUGGCAGGGAAGAAAAGGCCCUGGCUAAUACCUGGAGCUGCUGACGGUACCUGCAGCAUAAGCACCGGCUACUUACGUGCCAGCAGCCGCGGGAAUACGUCGGGUGCACGCGUUAAUCGGCAUUACUGGGCGUAAAGCGUGCGCAGGCGGUUCGGCAAGAAGGAUGUGAAAUCCCAGGGCUUAACCUUGGAACUGCAUUCUUAACUGCCGGGCUAGAGUAUGUCAGAGGGGGGUAGAAUUCCGCGUGUAGCAGUGGAAUGCGUAGAGAUGCGGAGGAAUACCGAUGGCGAAGGCAGCCCCCUGGGAUAAUACUGACGCUCAUGCACGAAAGCGUGGGGAGCAAAC
Molecule: ribosomal RNA, 422 nt
Filed under: uncultured bacterium
Lineage: Bacteria
Description: bacterial SSU rRNA
Rfam family: Bacterial small subunit ribosomal RNA
Source: RNAcentral